RNAcentral lists this ribosomal RNA (253 nucleotides) under uncultured bacterium. RNAcentral's name for it is "partial 16S ribosomal RNA". It matches the Rfam family "Bacterial small subunit ribosomal RNA", at positions 524 to 776 of the family's 1533-position model. The record is from RNAcentral.
UACGUAGGAGGCAAGCGUUGUCCGGAAUUACUGGGCGUAAAGCGCGUGUAGGUGGGAGGCCAAGUCUGUGGUGAAAUCGCCCGGCUCAACUGGGCGCAGUCCAUGGAAACUGGUCACCUGGAGGACGGUAGAGGCGAGUGGAAUUCCCGGUGUAGUGGUGAAAUGCGUAGAGAUCGGGAGGAACACCAGUGGCGAAGGCGGCUCGCUGGGCCGGUCCUGACACUGAGACGCGAAGGCGUGGGGAGCGAACGGG